Molecule: ribosomal RNA, 350 nt
Filed under: Gymnodinium sp.
Lineage: Eukaryota; Dinophyceae; Gymnodiniales; Gymnodiniaceae
Description: partial small subunit ribosomal RNA
Rfam family: Eukaryotic small subunit ribosomal RNA
Source: RNAcentral
AGCUCCAAUAGCGUAUAUUAAAUUUGUUGCGGCUAAAAAGCUCGUAGUUGGAUUUCUGCUGAGGACGACCGGUCCGCCCUCUGGGUGAGUAUCUGGCUUGGCCUCAGCAUUUUCUUGGGGAACGUAAGUGCACUUGAGGAAAUUAGACUGUUUCAAGCAGGCGCACGCCUUGAAUACAUUAGCAUGGAAUAAUAAGAUAGGACCUUGGUUCUAUUUUGUUGAUUACUACACGUGAGGAAUUGAUUAAUAAGGAUAGUUGGGGGCAUUCGUAUUUAAGUGUCAGAGAUGAAAUUCUUGGAUUUGUUCAAGACGGACUACUGCGAAAGCAUUUGCCAAGGAUGUUUUCAUUG